This 107-nucleotide ribosomal RNA is filed under the name Zingiber officinale. The record is from RNAcentral. Lineage: Eukaryota; Viridiplantae; Streptophyta; Magnoliopsida; Zingiberales; Zingiberaceae.
GCGAUCAUACCAGCACUAAUGCACCGGAUCCCAUCAGAACUCCGAAUUGCUUGGGCGAGAGCAGUACUAGGAUGGGUGACCCCCUGGGAAGUCCUCGUGUUGCACCU